GCCUAAGGUACUUUGGAAAGAUAUUCUAACAGGACAAUGGAAAGGUCCUGACCCAGUGAUUAUCUGGAGUCGGGGGUCUGUUUGUGUUUUUCCACAGGGAGAACAGCAGCCCAUUUGGAUUCCAGAGAGAUUAACUAAAACAAUUUCUACAGAUCGAAAAGAAGAUGAUUUGACUCAAAUCCAUAACAGCUGAUAUCCAGAACUCCAGCUUGGCCAUUCUUACAUCUGCGACAGUGAUUAACUAGUGAUGCAAUUUUUAUUUCCUUGCCAGCGCACCCCAUGUUAAUUGUGGUAGUGCUGACAUAUCUUUGCUGAUGGUGUCACCAGUGAUGCAAUUUUUCCCAAGGAGCCG
This 352-nucleotide long non-coding RNA is filed under the name Marmota monax (woodchuck). The record is from RNAcentral. Lineage: Eukaryota; Metazoa; Chordata; Mammalia; Rodentia; Sciuridae.